AAGUUCCAUUAAGGGCACAUGGUGGAUGCCUUGACUGAAUGAAGCGAUGAAAGACGUGGUCUGGCUGCGAUAUGCUUCGGGGAGGUGCCAAACAACCUUCGAUCCGGAGAUCUCUGAAUGGGGGAACCCCAUCGAGCAACACUCGAUGACCUCGUGCUUGACACGAGGGGUAUACCUGGGGAACUGAAACAUCUAAGUACCCAGAGGAAUAGAAACCAAUAGGAAUUUCCUGAGUAGCGGCGAGCGAAACGGAAGAAGCCCAAACCUUACUGCUUGCAGUAGGGGGUUGUAAGGCGUUAGUGCUGCAUUUAUGUAGGAAGAGUUACAAAAUAUGUUAUUAGAGGAACAACCUGGGAAGGUUGACCCCAGAGGGUAAUAGUCCCGUACUCGAAAAUAACAUGUCUCUUUAGCUAGCGUUCUUGAGUAGCUCGGGACACGAAUAGCCCGAGUGAAUCUGCCAGAACUAACUGGUAAGGCUAAAUAUUCAUUCAGAUCGAUAGUGAACAAGUACCGUGAGGGAAAGGUGAAAAGAACCCCGGUUAGGGGAGUGAAAUAGAACUGAAACCGUGUGUCUACAAGGAGUCGAAGAGGUCUUGCACCUCGACGGCGUGCCUAUUGAAGAAUGAGCCAACGAGUUUAUGUAUAUGGCUGGCUAAGCCCUUGUCGGGUGGAGUCACAGCGAAAGCGAGUAUGAAUAGUGCGAACUAAUAGUCGUAUACAUAAGACCCGAAAUCAGGUGAGCUUACCAUGAGCAGGGUGAAGGAGUUCGAAAGAUCUCUGGAGGCCCGAACCGGUGCAUCGUAUAACGUGCUCGGAUGACUUGUGGUAAGGAGUGAAAAGCUAAUCGAACUUGGUAAUAGCUGGUUCUCUCCGAAACAGCUUUAGGGUUGGCGUCACGUGUUCCUACUGGGGGUAGAGCACUGGAAGGUGUGAACAGGGCGAAAGCUCGUCACUCCUAUCAAACUCCGAAUACCAGUAAUUAAUAGCGUGGCAGUUAGAGUCAGGGGGCGAAGCUCCUGCGCUCGAAAGGGAAACAGCCCAGAUCGCCAGUUAAGGUCCCUAAAUUGAUACUCAGUACAAACGAGGAGGUGAGGUUUCUCCGACAGUGAGGAGGUUGGCUUAGAAGCAGCCACCCUUUAAAGAUAGCGUAACAGCUCACUCACUCAGAGACCUUGCGCCGAAGAUGAUCGGGGUUAAGUAUCAUACCGAAACUGCGGGCUUGUGGAUUUCAUUCGGGAUAUGUUCGCAUAUCUCGAAUGAAGUCCAUGAGCGGUAGGAGAGCGUUCCAUUCGCGAUGAAGCCAAAGGGGUGACCCAUGGUGGAGCAUAUGGAAGUGAAAAUGUUGGCACGAGUAACCGCAUUGUGGGUGAGAUUCCCACACGUCGAAAUACCGAGGUUUCCUGGGCUAUGAAGAUCAGCUCAGGGUUAGUCGGGCCUAAGCCGAUCCCGAGCGGGGGAGGCGAUGGACAUACGGUUAAUAUUCCGUAACCUGCGCACUGUGCGAUGGAGUGACGGGGGAAACAAGUACAAGCAUCUUAUUGGAUUGGUGUUUUUUGUUCUAAGAGAGGAUACAUAGGCAAAUCCGUGUAUCACAUACUUUCGAGAACCGAAGAAACUUCUGGGUACGCCCAGAGGGAUUUGUGCGAAGAGCCCUCCAAGAAAAGCUUCUAAGCUUCAACAGUGUGUAGACCGUACCGCAAACCAACACAGGUGGUAGAGUCGAGAAGACUAAGACGAACGGGUGAAAGUUCCUCAAGGAACUCGGCAAAAAAGCGACCGUAACUUCGGAAUAAGGUCUGCCUGCUGCCCUCGGGUAGUAGGCCGCAGCGAAAGAGUCCUGGCGACUGUUUACCAAAAACACAGCUCCCUGCGAACUCGUAAGAGGAUGUAUAGGGGGUGACGCCUGACCAAUGCCGGAAGGUUAAGCAUGGAUGGUGCACGAAGUUUACUUUGUGUGCUGGGCUAUGUAAGCCCCGGUGAAUGUCGGCCGUAACUAUAACGGUCCUAAGGUAGCGUAAUUCCUUGUCUAGUAAUUGUAGACGUGCACGAAUGGCGUAACGACUGGGACACUGUCUCGAGGAACUGCCCGGUGAAAAUGCAAUAGCGGUAAAGAUGCCGCUUACCUGCAGCAGGACGGAAAGACCCCAGGAGCUUUACUAUAGCUUGAUAUUGGGGGCGCGUGAUUAAUGCGUAGCAUAGAUGGGAGACUUUGAAGCAGUCCUUUUGGGGAUUGUGGAGUCGUCAGUGAAAUACCAUCCUUUACUCAUGCGUCUUCUAACCAGUACGGAAAAACCGUAUUGAGACAGUAUCUGGCAGGUAGUUUUAGUGGGGCGCUAUCCUCCUAAAAAGUAACGGAGGAGUUUAAAGGUUCUCUAGGCGCGGAUGGAAACCGUGCCGAUAGUGUAAUGGCAUAAGGGAGCUUAACUGCGAGACGUACAUGUCAAGCAGGCGCGAAAGCGGAACAUAGUGAACCGAUAGUUUGCUUUAGACGCAGCUAGAGAUUAACGGAUAAAAGUUACCCUGGGGAUAACAGGCUGGUACCGCCUAAGAGUCCAUAUCGCCGGCGGUGUUCGGCACCUCGAUGUCGGCUCACCUUAUCCUGGGGCUGAAGAAGGUCCCAAGGGUUUGGCUGUUCGCCAAUUAAAAAGGUACGCGAGCUGGGUUCAGACCGUUCAGAUGUGAAAGAUGUUCACGUUUGAACAGUCUGAAUCCCGAGGCUACACUUACCCAAAGUAAGAGUUAAAGACAUCAAUUCACGGCGGCACAAUGUAGAAAUAUAUUGUUGCUAACGUUGGCUAUAUCGGUAAAACCUAUAUCGUACAAAGCAUAGGCAAUACCGAGGGAAGUCGUCAUUGACCCCGUAGAGACUAAACGCCAACCACCCUCACUCGAAAGAGAAGGAUGAAGAUAUAGUCCAAUUCUAAUGACCAUGAGAAAGCGUGAGACAGGUUGGUCGUAAUCCGCUGCAGGCGUCGAUUU
Molecule: ribosomal RNA, 2979 nt
Filed under: beach sand metagenome
Description: bacterial LSU rRNA
Rfam family: Bacterial large subunit ribosomal RNA
Source: RNAcentral